RNAcentral lists this ribosomal RNA (226 nucleotides) under uncultured bacterium. Its description in RNAcentral is "partial 16S ribosomal RNA". It matches the Rfam family "Bacterial small subunit ribosomal RNA", at positions 15 to 230 of the family's 1533-position model. The record is from RNAcentral.
GCUCCUGGCUCAGGAUGAACGCUAGCUACAGGCUUAACACAUGCAAGUCGAGGGGCAGCAUGGUCUUAACUUGCUAAGGCUGAUGGCGACCGGCGCACGGGUGAGUAACACGUAUCCAACCUGCCGUCUACUCUUGGCCAGCCUUCUGAAAGGAAGAUUAAUCCAGGAUGGCAUCAUGAGUUCACAUGUCCGCAUGAUUAAAGGUAUUUUCCGGUAGACGAUGGGG